Molecule: long non-coding RNA, 1549 nt
Organism: Gopherus flavomarginatus (Mexican gopher tortoise)
Lineage: Eukaryota; Metazoa; Chordata; Testudines; Testudinidae
Exons: 6
Source: RefSeq, a predicted model, not a curated record
AAUUUGAACAGGACUAUUUUGAAUUAGUGAUACUUCACAGAGAGAGAAAGAAGAAAGCUGAAUUUAGAGAACAAUUAUUAACCAGAUUCUUGGUUAUUCACCAGCCACUUUGUUCCUGUCCACGGCACAAAGCACCAUAAACUCAGUAUAGUCUGGACAAGAGAAUAUUCACCUCAAAUUGGCAUCUACUACACUCCCUGCCCCUGUCCCCCCAUUCCCAGUCACCACGAAUCAGGAUAUAGCUGAGUGAAAAGGUGGCAUGGCUGAAACAUUUAUCAGGCAAUUGAAAACUAGUAUAGAGUACAAUAGUCCUGAGAACAUCGCUUAAUUCUGAGCACUGUGUCUGCAACGUGAUGCAGGAUGGGCCUGUUGCCAUGGCACCAUUGGCACCAUUGUAAACUCAGUACUGACCUCAAGCCCCCACCCAUAGCAAAACGCCCUUGGACCUUUUCUGGAUCCCACCAAAAAAUAUUAAAAUCUGCUGCCCCAGUGCUACUUUCUUUCUACAGGAGACAUGAUGCAGUGAAAUAAUUUCCCUACAUUCCAUCAAACUCUGCAUCACACAUUUUCAGUAUUUAAAAGACUCUCUCAUAACUAUUUGUCUAUGUGAAGUCUCACAACAGUUCACAAAUUUUAGAAUUGCCUUUUGCUGCAUUUAUCUUGCCUGUGAACUCAGCUCUUACAGUCCUAUUUUCACACGUCAUUGCUUGUGUGUAGAAACUGAUUCACAAAUAUUCAGUAAGUUUAUUAUAUGGUGUCAUCUUAGAACCUUCCCAAGUGCAAAAAUCUUCGGCAACAAUGAAGGCUUGGGCUGAUGACCAGUGGCUGCAGAACUUUUGGAUGGUCCACAUUUCUGCAUCUUUGUGCAAAACUCACCAAAAUAAAAGCUGCACUGACAGUGGAGAAGAAAAAAUAAUUGUACUACGGGGAUCUGCAACACCAGAUUAUUAUUGAUCAAUCACUGCUCUCUCUCCUAAACUAAGAUGGAAUGGAUUUCUUUAAUAUUCAAGACUGUGAGCUACGAUCAUCAUUGAAGACUCAGGAGUUCAAGCUUCCUGGAGUGGAUUCUUCAGAUUUCCAGACAACUAUUUUCUCCAAAAAAGUUGCACCAAGCAAAAAAUUACCUCAAUACACAUAAUGGCAAGGAAAUCUUUUGAAGAAAAAAUUGCAAAUGUUUUAGCAUACAUAAGGAGUAGCACAUAUCCUGAAGGAAUGAAUAAAGCAGGCAGACUGAACUUGCGUCGAUAUGCUGUCAACUUUUCAUUGGAAGAGGGGAGAUUGUUCCAUUCAGCAAAAGGAAGAAAGGUUGUUGUUGUACAUACCAUGAAAGAAGCCCUGCAACUCUUUAAAAGGUAUCAUGACAGUCCAGCGGGUGGACAUCUAGGAAUAUUCAAAACCAGGAAUGCGCUGACAUCAAAAUACUAUUGGCCAGGGAUGACAAAAGACAUUGCCAAUUGGGUUGCACAGUGUCUGACUUGCCAGAAAGAAGGAAAGCAAUCAAAUCUGGAUACCACCUUGAAAAGCAUAGAGGUGAAUUUUUGAAUCAGAC